GUGAACCAGCUAGAGAUAUGCCUUGCAUUUUUAAAUAAUCAUUUGUCACUUCUUGGCUCAUCCUUGACCCCCAACUCUCACACCCAUUUAAAGGUCCAUCAUCCAAAUUUCUAAUAGCUUUUGAAAUCUCAUCACAAGCCAAAAUUAUUCCAUUUUCACUCAAAAGUUCAGACCUUUCAAGACCAACAAACCCAGCAACCACACAAUUUCCAAAGUAAUUCAAUGGCACUUGUGGCUUUAAACGAGUUCUUGCAUCAGCUGCAAACACAAACCAUAAUUUCCCUUCUUUUAAACCUUCUAAUUUGGCUGUACAAACACAAAGAUAAGCUGUUGCUAUUGCAAAUGUAGAUAUGUGAGAAGAAGAAUCAAACUUUUCAUUUUCGAUCUUCUUGUUCAAGAUCCAUUCCUUUAGCUUUUGAAUGUUUUGGUGUGUGAAUUCUAAAGUGCUUCUAACUAAACCAUGUUUUGUUUGGGGGAAUUUAAGGUUUAGGCUUUUGUUGUUGGGUCCUUCCGCAUCUUUCCAUGCUUUUGCAUAGAUUUUUGCAAGAUCUUUUGGAUCAUUUAUAACUGACCUAUUAUAUAAUGGCACUUGUUUGGGGGUUGGUACAGAGGAUUCUUCCAUGCAAAUUUGAGCCCAUGAUUUGAUAAAUGAAGUUGAGCUUCUUCCAUCGAAGAUUGCAUGGUGAUUGGUUAUUCCAAUCGAAAAACCUUUGUUUUGAAAUUUGGUUACCUAUAUAUUGAGAAUAUAAAUAAUUAAUUAAUUGUUACCUUCCAACUAUAGCAAUCAAAUUUAAAGUGUUUACAAAUAUAAUACAAUCCAAAGUUAUAUAUAUAGCAAAACGUUGAAAUAACCAAUCACUAAUCAAUUAAUAAUAGUCGUCUAUUAAUAAUAGUCUAUUACUAAUAUUGGAAACAUAAAUAAUUAAGUGAUUGGUACAAUUGCAAGUAUUCCAAGAUCUAUAUUUGGAUUUUAUAAUCUAUCUAGCUAUUAGUGAUAUUUUAGAGAUAUUACAAGUCUAUUACUAGUAAUAUUCUAUCAAUGAAAGAAAUAAUGUAUUACUAAUGGAGAAAUUUAUAACGAGAAUGUCUAUCAUUGAUAAAUAUUUUACAAUACCUGUAUAAUUCAACUUUAACGCAUGGUUGUUAUACAUUUACUUAUUUAGCUAUAAAAGUUAUAUUCUUUAUAAUAAUUGUUAUAACUAAUCUUAAUUAAAUAAGGUUUGGUUCUUAACCAUGCAUUUAAGUGACUUAAAUGCAGUACGUAUGUUUUUUCCUUUCAAUUUAGUCCUUUAAAAAUUUUUAAUUUAGCAUUUUUGGUUAGUGAAUAAUGUCAAGAAAUUUUUUAGAAAGAAAAGAAAAAAAAGCUAUCUUAUAAGCAAACAAAAAGUAAAAAUUUCAACUAACUUCGUAGAAACAAACAGGGGGAAGAAAUUAGAAACCUUUUUUUCUUUUUGUUAAAAUUGAAACAGAUGAACAAGAAGAAGAACUAGCUGAAGAUGAAAAACAAAGAUAAUAAAACAUCAAAUGAAAGUGAUGAAGAAGAAAAUAUAAGGUGGGAAAACAAAAUAAGAAAAAGGCAAUAGAAAAACUUAAAUAUUGUGAUAUUCCGCUAUAUCAACCUAUCUAAAUUGAAUAUAUAGUGAUUGUCUACGAUUGAUUGUUCUUAUUAUUAAUUCCAACAAUUUCUUGUUGCAGAAGAAAGAAAGAGAAAAUAAAGAAAGAAAUAAAGUGAUAAUUAUCUGCAAUAUUGAACACAAAAUCUCAAAAUUUUAAAAAUAUUUUACUGCAUCUUAAAAUCUUUUGGUGUUUUCUUACCAAAAUUAACCUAAACGUAAGUAUAAUUGUUCUUUAUUUAUUUGGCAAUAUGCAUGAUUUAUUGUUUUCAGAUAAAAGGCAAAAAAACAAAAGCUUUUAUAAAAUACAGUAAAUUUUAUUUAGAUUAUGUCAUUUACCAUCAUUUUUCUAAGACUUUUUAUGAUUAAUUUCAUAAAUUUUCAAACAUCUUUAAUUUCCGAAGGACUUAUUCUCAUCCAUUUUGUUCUUAGAGAUACCUUAUUCACAAGGUAUACAUAAAUUUCUACAAACAUUUUUUAAAAACUUAUAAAAACAACCCAAAAUAUAAAAAUAAUAAAUUAUUAAAUAAAAUAAGUAAUCUAUUAUUUUCGAAUAACUAAACAUAUCUAAAUUUUAGAAGGAUAUAAUUCACAUUAAGAACGAAUUUAUUAUAGGCACCUGCCCCUCACAUUAUCGAUUUUUUAUUUUAAUAUUAAUUUUGAAGGAUUAGAUUACAAUAUAUAUUAACUUUAUUUGACCUAAAUUCUGCUUAUGCUAUAAUGGUUGUGCCCCUAAAUCUUGUCUGUUACAAUUAUUUUUACAAAAUAGAUUUUAUUCCAAAUAUCAAUAAUUUUCUUUCCUCAAAAAUUAAAUUUCUUUCUAGAUUUUCAUAAAAUAAAUUUUAUUCAAAACAUCACUAAUUUUCUUUUCUCAAUCAUCAAUAAUUUUAUUUCCUCAAAUAUCCGAUUUAUUUCUAAAUUUGAAUGAUUUUCUAAAAGGGAGAUAAUUUGAUUUCUUAGAAGGAAAAUAAUUUGAUUUAAAAGAGAGAUAAUAUUUUAAAAAGAGAAAAAAACUGAUCUCGAAAAAAAUCUUAACCUAUUUCCAGUCUUUCUUUAUUACUACAAUUUCUGAAACGUUGAGAUAUCUUUUAAACCGUGUUUAUUUUACUGUGCUCGGUGCUCCCUGUAUAAAAUUUAUAGAUCCGCCACUAGUUCACAUAUUGGAAAUAUCUACACGGAUGCAAACUGAUACUCUAUUAUCGCCUACUUAAGAAUUAGUGGUUAAGAACCUGAAUAGCAAUAACUGCAGCACGAUCAUGAGAGACUGUCAAUACAGGAACAAGAGGAUGAAAAUCCGAAACUUCUCGAAAUCCGUUACCAGAAAGAUGAUCAAAAUCAUCGUCGGACUCCGCCACCGUCAUGGAAACCCCAUUACCUUCUACAAAUUCAAUGACAGGUACAUCGGAUUGCGAUGGCCAAACGAGGUUGCCAGCCAAAGGAAGAUGGUGACAAAGAGCGAGAGAAAGAGAGCUCUUGAGCUUCGAAACAAUGACAUCGUAAGACGAGAUCUGAUUGGAUGGAAAUUCGUAGAAAAAAAGACGUUGAAUUGGAUAAAACCUUAACCAGAACAAAUCAAAGAAAGUGAGGGGAAGAGAUAUGGGCGCUGCCGCUGUGGGAGGAGGGGAGACUUUGGAGACCUCAAUUACUUUCAGAGAAGGAAAGUUAGCCAUCGGAAAUAAUAGAAAAGUGAGAAGAUAAUGGGUUGGAUCCUUUCAAAUCUUUGGGGUCUUUUAAAGGUCCAAAAACGUUGAAAACAACAAACAAAUCAUGACGUAUUGGCUUUCGUCUUUUUUACUCCUUGAAAUUAUGAAAUGGAAAGUCUUCUAGAAUUUCAAAAAUAUCGCUCUAGCCUGUAGCCUGUAGCCUGUAGCCUGUAUAUAUCAUUAUGAACGAAUAAACCAAAAAUAUUUUUACUCUUUCUAGUACAAAUACUAAUAGAUUCUAAUUUUUCUAAAUUUUUUUAGAAUUUUUAUUAUUUAAAAUAAUUUUUUAUAACAUAUAGGUGUAUUUUCAAAUAUAGAAUACAAAUUAAAACUUUUAUAAAAAUAUAGCAAAAUUUUAAAUCCAUCGAAAUCAAACGAUAAAAUUUAAAAUUUUACUGAAUUUUGUAAAUAUUUUCAAGAGUUUUGUCUAACGUAAAUGUCUAUUACAUCUGAUUUUUAUUAUAAAAUAUAAAUAUUUAGUCGAUUUUUAUAAAUUAUACUUUUAAAAUACGUAUUUCAAAUGUAAUAUUAUACCUGUCCUUUCAAUUUCAAUUCAUAUUUAAUUGUCUUUAUAUAUCACAUAUUAACUAGUGUACGAUUAUUCAUUAAAUAUAAGAGAAAUGCAUUCAAUUAUUGUUUGAAAAAGUAAAACCAUUUAAAGAAUGAUAUUCACAUGGUGAGAAAUGCAUUAAAUAUACCAAAGUCAAUCUCAAUUCGGUAUAAAUUCCAAAUUUACUCUAUCUUGGUAUAAUUAAAAUCUUCAUGUCUUAUCAUUUUUCCUUUUCAAGUUGCAGGGUUAAAUUUGUAAUUUAAGCUUUAAUUUAUAUAUAAAAAAUGGUAAUGGAUAAAACUUUUGUUAAAUAAUUGGCUAAUCUACUAUUAGGGAAAUAAUUGGCUAAUCUUUGUUUUUCACUAGUUGGAAGGAAAAUCUUCUAGAAUUUCAAAAAUAUCAUCAUUUGUAAAAUACACCAACAUAAAUCAAAAUAUUUAUAAAAUAUAACAGAAUUUUAGAUGUAUCACUAUUGGUAUUGAAGACAAAAAAAGUCUAUUAGUGUCUAUCAUUGAUAUAAUCUAAAUUUUACUAUAUUUUGUAAGUAUUUUCAACUAUUUUGUCAUUUAAAAUAAUUUCUCCAAUAUAAAUGUCUACUACAUCUGAUUUUUGUCAUAAAAUAUAAAUAUUUUGACAACUUUUAUAAAUUAUACUUUUAAAUAUUCAUUUCAAAUGUAAUAUUAAAAGUCAUCUCUUUUGAAGUGUAUUAUUAAUGGUCUUUUAUCAAAUGAGUUUAAAUAAGAGAAAUUGUAAAAGAAAAGUAAAAUGGACAAACUAUUUACACUUUGUGACAAAAGUGUAAUGAGUUUGGGUUUUUUAGUGAUUUUUUUGCCACAGUGUAAAUUGUUUGUAUUUUUUUUUAGAAAAUGAUACUUGUAUGGUUGGUAGGCGAGGUCGAUACCCUUUUAGCUCCCUCAUCAUUCUCAAUAGUUUGUAUUUUUUUUUUAUUAAAUCUAUCAAAAUCGAACCUUAAUUUGUUUCUUCAGGAUAUUUAUGUAUUUAAAACUCAUAGAGAAGGAUUUUGUAAUGACUCAAACUCUUAAAUUAAGCUGAGGUUCUUACCUAAAAGAUAAAUAUCAAUUUUGGCACUUUCUUGUAAAGAGAAAAACUAAAUCUUUAUUAAAAUAAUUUUCAAACAACUGUUCAUAAAACAAAAUUUAGCGAAAUCUAUAAAAUUCCAUGAAAACAAACUCGAGCUAAUUUUAACUAAUUAAAGAAAAUAAAUAAAGAAAUAAAAUGUUUACAAUCGAAAAGACUAAAAAUUAAUAAAUGAAAAGCGAAAGCAAAAUUGAAUCCUUCCAUAUGGCAUGUCAUGGACCCUUACUGUCGUUGACCAACUUUUCAGAUCCUCUACCAUUGCCUGAAAUAUUAAAAAUAGAAAAAUGGCGAGUAUAUAAAAAUAUAGCCAGCAACGGAUCCACCUAUUGGCCCCUCUAAGUGAUCUAUUAACUUCUCAUUAGGAGAUCCCAUAAGGUAAUAAUAAUAUCGUUUGUCCCAUGGAGCACACGUGAGCAAGUGGUACCGUAGGAACACUUUUAGUCGUGCGAGUGAUCCAUAGGUACACCUCUAAUUGUGCGAGUGAUUUCGUCAAAACACCCUUAGGCAUGCAAGUGAUUCUGUUAAAACACACCUCUAGUCGUGCGAAUGACUCCAUUUGAACCCAAUACAACUGAUACUUAACCGUGCAUAUGAUAUUUAGGUACACGUUGUGCAAGUGAUCCCGUAGGAACGCCUCUAGUCGUGUGAGUGACCCCAAAGGUAGAAACACAAUACAUGUGGGGUAAAAGCCUAACAACCAAAAUUAACAAACAUCAUAGUCCAAAAACAUGUGACAAUCAACAUGAAUCAUCAGUCAUAGCAAUUCAUAAUCAUGCAAUUCAUAAAACAUCGAUAAUCACCAUAAUACACCAACUAUCAACAACAAAAUCUCGUUAUGUAUUUGUAGUUAUUAUCAAUACAUAAUCAUAAAAUACGUGCAGAGUCUUAAAUUUAGUUCGAAGGUUCAAUAGUAGAAUCUCUUACCUGAUAUUAGCUAAAAGUAUUCCUUUGCUGAUAGUAAUUUUUUUCAAUUAUAUUAAAACAGAUCCUAAAUAGUAAAUUUUUUUUCUCAUAUCCUUAAUUAAUAAAAUUUACCAAUGGCUAGCUAGCAUCUAAAAUUUUUCAACUUAACUUAUCCAAUAACUUAAGUAAGAUUGAAUCAAUUUAAGGUUGAUGGAAAAUUUUCACAAAUUAAUUCCUACAAAAGUUUCCAAUUAAGCCUUAAAAAAAAUCUACCAAUUAGAUUUGAAAUUAAUUUAUCUUUAAUUUAACUUUAAUGACUAAUGGGAAAAUUUUCGCAAAUUAAUCUUUCAAAAACUUCUAGAAGAAAAAGAAUCCAAAUUUUAAUACAAAAAUUAAUUUAUCAAAAGCUUUAACUUAUAUAUAUAUAACCCACAUUAAACAUAUCCAAUUAAUUAUUCUUUACAACUUUAGCCCAUUCCAAUUGGUAUGCUUUAGUAACGAUAGGCUAUAUAAUAAUUGACCAUCACAAACAUAUCACAUACUACGCAUAUAAUUGUAUUACUAUUAUCAUACAAUAAUCUAACCCUCAAUUGAGGAUCCAAUAGUAGAACCCUUAUAUUUGGUUAUGACAAGUUUCCUACGGCAGAUAAAACCACAAUUUCACCUAUGUAACCAAAUUAAAUUAACAAUUUUUGCCAACAAAUUAAUAAUUUCAUUAUCUUAGCUUAUAAAGUUAUCGAAAUAGAGAUCGAAAAAUCCUCUCAACCUUGAUAGAAAAAUUCACCACUUAAAUCUUCAAGCUUUGUGAAAGAGACCUUCCAAAUAAAAGUAACCAAAAUCAAUUGCAAUAAUAAACUUAAUUUAUUUGAUUAUGGAUAUUUGCAGCCUAAUUGUGCUUUCACCUUGAUAAACAUAAAUUAAUUAAAAGGAAUUCCUCUCUAAUUAAUACUAAAAUGUGUUUCUUCUCUAAUUAUUUUUGUUGGAAGAAUGAUUCUAACAAUUCUUUCAAACUGUUUGUUGCGAUGUAGUCUUAAUGUCGAGUAGCUAACAUGUUCAUUUAUUUAAUUUUAAUAAUUAAAUAGGUUUGAAUUCGUCACUAACUAUAUUAAAGUGUGAUUGGUCAUCUAAAAAUUUUUUUAAAAAAAUUGUCUAAAAUUCAUGAGAUUUAAGUUCGGGAGUCUUUAGGAACGUGUUAGCACCCUACAGCACCCAUAAAAAUGAUUACCAAAAUUUAUCUCUUAAACUAAAUUAAAAUGGUUCACAAAACAAGGUUUUUUUAUUUAUCUUUUUAAAUGUCUCAUGGUUCUCAAUUCACACCGAAAAAAAUAAAACCUAAGCAAUAAUUAAUAAUUAUGAGUGUCAUAAGAGCAAUUAGAAAAAUGAAGUUUAUUUUUUGUUUCAAAAUAUGAUUUUAUUUUAUUAUUAUUCACCUUAAAAAUAUUAAAAUAUCAAACUUUAAUAUUUUAAUCUUCAUAAUAAGUAAAAAUAUGAUUUUAUUUUAUUAUUAUUCACCUUAAGAAUAUUAAAAUAUCAAACUUUAAUAUUUUAAUCUUCAUAAUAAGUGUUUAAUGAGAAAUUUCAUGUACAUAAAAUUAAUAAAUUCAUAGAAAACAAUACUUAGCCUCAUUUAAAAUAUGAAAUUGUUUAUAAUUUUAAAGAUAACUUAUUAAUUAAAUUUCAACCCGAGAAAUAGAAAUUUCAUAUAUUCUUGAUAUUUAAGUUAUAAAACCCAUAAAAAACAUUACAUAUUUAAAUUUUUAUAUUCAUAUUAGAAAAUAAAUAAAUAAAUAAUAAUAAUAGUAGCAAUAUAAUGUGAAAUUGAGAAAUACAGGUUGUGAAAUAGUUGUAAAAUAAUAUAGGUGUGAAAUAGUUGCACGAAAACUGUGAAAUAAAAUAAUAUGCACGAAGGCUGCGAAAUAAAAUAAUAUACAGAGAGACGGUUGUCACACCCCAAAUCGUACUAUGACCUUGGGUAGAGUCACUCGAAAAUUAAAGAAAUUUGACAAAUAAAUGUUUAAUCAUUACUCUUGCAAUUCUCUUGAAAAUGUAGGUAAAUCUACAACAUCUCAAUUGUUAAGCUCGAAAUCAAGUGGACAUGCAUAGACUGUGUCCCCUUCAAAUGAUGCUUCUUAUGUCAUUGUUGUAAUUGAGAAACUCUCCAUCUUUGUUAACAAACAGUACUUUGAAUCAGAAUCAUGUGAUGAGUGACUUAUACCAGCACUCUUGAAAGUAUCAUAUAAUGUUGGUAUAAAUUUUAGACUUGGGAUCAAACUCCCUCAUCUCUAGCUUUGUCGAACGCUUUUUCUUAUUUUCUUCUUCAAGCCUAAUCUUAUCAUAUACGAAUGACAUUUAGCUCAAAUCAAACAUCUCAUCAUUGCUCGAUGUGUUUAGAAGUGUUUCUAAGUUUGAUUCAAACAAUAUCUUCCACUUCUCAUCACCCUAGUGAUCAUAACUUCCACUUUAGGCCCAUGUGACUUUAUUACUUCAUUUAUAGCUGCUUUCAUUAUAGUUGCAUGAACAAUUUUAAAAGAGCAAAAAUAGUAUUCUAAUGCUUCCUCUGUCGCCUCAACAUAUGGGGUUGAUACCGAUUUUGUUAUCAGAAAUUUUCCUCUCCCAUCAAACAAAUCACCUACUCAACAAUAAAUUUCAAUUUUGAUGCAAUGUGGAUGACAUCACCCCUACAGAGUGAAUCCAAGGACGUCCUAAUAAAAAACUGUAAGUAUGUGUUAUUUCCAUUACUUGAAAGACUAUAUUGAAAGUACAUAAGUCAAACUUGAUUGGUAAUUCAAUGUCACCCAUUACAUCUCUACGUGACCCAUCAAAAGCUCUCACAACCAUAGUGCUUGAUUUUAUGUGUGACAUGUCCAUUGCAAGCUUGAAUAGUGUAGAUUUAGGCAUUGCAUUAAGAGAUGAACCACUAUCCACUAAAACUCUUGCUAUUGCAUAGUCUUUGCACUUUACUUGUGUUGGAAUUUAUAUCCUAAAACUCGUAGAUUGUACAUAUAACUCAUUGACCGUUAUUAAGAAAGUGUUAUUUUUAUAAUUGCAAUAAAUAUUAUUGAUUAUAUUAAUAGUUUUGUCUUAAUAACCCAAAUCCAAUAAACUAACAUCCUAAGAUGUUUGAUGAGUCUUGAACAGUAUGUAGAGACAUAUAGAAAUCAAUGUUCGAGAUCAGCUUAAAGGGUCUAUAGUAUAAGGAUAAGAUUGGGUACCUUAUCUUGGUAACACUAUGGAUACGACUCACUUUGUAUUUGAUACAAAUGCAAUGAUUUCAUUUGUGUAGUUGAUAUGCAAGUGAAGGUAUCUUGCAACGGAUUUGCAUAAGACCAGACCAUAAAAUAGUAACCACUAGUUAUAACUCCGUUUACUAGUUAGGUUUCUAUUUCAUUAGGAUGACCUAGUUAACUUAGUCUUAAUCAUGAGUGUAUUAUGAACUCUUGUUCGCGAGAGAUUGUUCUUUGUUUUGUACAAAUGAGAGUGACCAAAUUUCCGACUCAAUAAUCUUAUUAUUUUGGGGACAAGAUCGAGUGGAGAGUUGGAAACAUAAUUUACGCAAGAUGAAAUUCACUCAUUUUCUACUUUAGGGUACGUAGAUGGUCCCUUAAAUGGUGUUUUUGGGACUUGAACAAAUGACCUUACCCUCUCUAUGAUACAAGAGAAAUUUAUGUUUAUUGGUUGGACCAUAAACAUGUUGUUCAUUAGAGAAGCACAUGUACUUAAAUAUUAGAGGUAACCCAAGGAUCAAAUGGUAAGUUGAUCUAGCUGGUAUUACAAACACUCGUGAAUAACUAACUUACUGUUAUUGGUCGAUAUCCGUGGACACAGAAAUAUAUCUACAGUGAGAAGAGUUCAGCUAUGAGUCUUUGGUGGAAUGUACACACAGUUAACGAAUAUUGAUUAAUGUAGUUAAUGAGUUUAGCCAAUUAAUCUCAGAUUGUUGUAGCUUCUGAUCUAUAGGUUCAUUAGAUCCCCUAGCCUCUAAAGGGUAAUGAGAUUUAUUUAUGUUGGUUGUAAUUUGAAAUGUUCAAAAUUACUUUGAAAAUUAGUUUAAUGUAUAGUGAUACAUUAUAAUAUAAAGGUUGUCAAAUUUUUUUAUAUAAAUUUAAUUUUGGAUAUGAUUCAAAAUUAGUUUAUGAUAAAAUAUUUGAAUGAGUUCAAAUAUUAAUUUAAUAUGAAUUGAAUUCAUAUUAAAUUAUCUGUUAUGAUAUAAAUUUAUAUUUGAAUAUGAUUCAAAUUUAAUUUAGCUAUUAAUUAAUUAAUAGUUAUUUUUAUUUUAUUUAAUUAAAAUAAUAUAAAACUAUAAGAUAUCGGAGAGAUAUUCAUUAAAUAAGAUUUAAAUAAAAUAUUAAUUAAAUAUGAUAUAAUUAAUUAUUAACUAAUUGAUUAAGGGUUAAUUAGUUAAUAGAUUUAAAAUUUUUAUUGAUUUAAAAUUUUUAAAUUAAUAGAAUCACAAGAUUAUCUCCUAGUCCCUGAAGAAAAGAGAGUUAUAAAUAUGCGAAGGAAAAUUGUUUUUUGGUAAAAGAGUUUCUCUAAACAAUCUCUAAAUUUUUUCACAUACCAAUUGGUUCUCACAAACCAAUCUUAUCCUAGAGGAUAAGAAGGUCACCGACGGAUAGUGUCCCAAUUUGGAGAUUUAUUUUGUAGAUUCAGAGACGUCAAACAAGUAAAUUUUUCUCUCUCUAAUCUAUAAUUAGAAAACAUACUUAGCCUUUAAGUCUUAAUAAAAAAUUUUGUUUCUAUAUCAUUUUGCCAAUGUACUGAUAUUUUAGAAUUUCCAAAUUAAAUUGAGGAAUGAUUUUGUAAAAUCCUCCGUUGUCAUGGACUUUUAUCCCUUCAACUUGAAUAUGCAAUGCUUUUGUAUGACUUAAACCUUCAAGAGGAAAGUCAUCAUCCGUGAAGACUAUGAAAUUUGAAGACGUAAUGUUUCCAAUAAUGUUGUUAAACUUUUUCAUUCAAAUGUCAUGUCCAACUUGUGUCUUGUUCAAAAUAUCUAAUAGCACUUUGCGAUGAGACUCUGAAUUAAAAAACAAAGAUAAUAAAGAAAUUCGAGCUGGAGUAUGAUGCAUUUCCUCUAUGAUCUUAUACUUAUAUACUUUGUUUUACUAUUUUCAAGAAUUUAUUUGCUUCCUCAUCCGUAAUAGGCUUCUUGUAUUCUACAUCUUUUGCUAUUGAUAGAUAUCUCUACAUCUUGCUCUUUGCAAUGUUCAUUCACAUUUCUUCUCUAAUUUUUCCUCUAUUGCCCCAUUAUAAAACUACUUGAAGGAGCUAUUAAAUUAUCUAGUUUGUAACAUCUUCCACUUUGAGUUAUCUCGAUGAUUUCUGUAAGAUUAUAAACUGAAGGACCUGUAUUAAUGACAACUUGAAAAUCAUAUCGUCAUGACACUGCUUUCACAUUCUUAAACUUGAAAGGACUCGGUACUGGAUCGUGGGUUAUUUAGGAUUGUAGGAAGUUGACUCAUUACGACUUUCUUGAUAAAAGACCGUCAAAGGCCUUGGUAAAAAGGAUUUUUCCUUUUUUGCAACUUCAUCCAUUGAUGCACAUAUUUUAUUGUCUUUUAUCUCAUCAUUUCCUUGUCCUCUGUAUGAGUAUAUUUGAAUCCAUAAGUUGUUGUACUUUAGAUCUGAAUUUACAACACAGUUAGACAACGUGACUUGCAACUCUUUGAUGAAAUAUACAAUGUAUGUUUCCAUCGUAUCCUUCAUUUCUUAUGUUGGGGUCUAAAUAUUCCUGACUAACAUAUCCUGCUUCAAAAAGUGUUUUCAUAGACGUCACUAUCUCAUGAACUUUAUUUUUACACUUUUCAACAAGGCAAUCUACAACGUUCACUUUGAAUUUUCAUGAUUAGGCAGUGGAUUGUUGUUGACAUCCGGCUUCAACCAACUUUUUUGAAGCUUAACCAUCUAACAUUAAUUAAAGAUUGCACCUUUCUUUUAAAGGCCAAACAAUUUUCAGUUGAGUGUCAUGCUCCACCAGCAUGAUAAUCACAUCUAGCAUUUGAAUCAUACUAUUUUGGAUAAGGAGGUUGUAUAUGAUUCAUUGGAAUAAGAGCUAACUAUGGAUUUUGAAUUAGCUAGGGUAAAAACUCUGUAUAAGUCAUGGAAAUUGAAUCAAAAUCGCCAUGUAUCAGAGUUGGUCUUCCUACCAUGACCUUAUACAAAUGGUCGAUGAGAGUUUGAGUUAACAGGUUUUGGGGUUCCAAAGAAAGAGUGAGCUGGUACAUAGUUGUUAUAAGGGAUAUGAGAAACAUUGCUUAUAUAUGAAGAGAAAUUUUGGUCAUGUUUUCUUUGGCCAAAAAUCGAUUUGUGGUUCCCUAAAUUAGAAAACCCAAUUGCAUGAACCUCUCCUUCUUUCUUCUUAAAUGUUGUUCCUUUCUUUAAAUCCUCAUACUCAAUUGAAGCCUCUACUAACCUCCUAUGCUUUAUCUCAUAUUCAAUUCUUUCACCAAUAACAAUAAUGUCAGAAAAAUUGGUUGUAGUAUUACCAAUCCUUUGAUCAUAAAACAGAGCCCACAAAGUACUCAUAAACAUAGAUGUCAUUUCUUUGUCCGUUAAUGGUGGUUGAACCUCUGUAACCAUAUCUCUCCAUCAUUGAGCAUAUUCUUUAGAACUUUCUAAACUCUUCUUCUCCAUCCAUUGUAGGUCUAAACGAUCUGGUGCCAUAUUCAUAUCAUGUUUGUAUUGCUUUAGAAAUGCAUAAGCUAAGUCCUUUCAAACAUGAAUGUGUGCAUUAUCUAAUUGAAUAUACCAUCGAGUCAUUGGACCAAUCAAAUUGUCCUGAAAACAAUGGAUCAAUAAUUUAUCAUUACCAAUAUGCGCUGCCAUCUUUCUAUAGUACAUUAUAAGAUGACUCCUUGGACACUAUGAUCCAUCAUAUUUGUUAAAUUUAGGAACUUUAAACUUUGCUGGAAUUAUCAAAUCUGGCACCAAACACAAUUGUGUUGCAUCUAUAUUCUCAUAAAUGUCAAUCCCUUCAACAUUUCAAUUGCUUGCAACCUUUCUUCCAAAACAUCUAGUUUUUGCUUAGCCGGAGUGUUCUCAUUUUGUCCCAUGUCUUGAAUUUUAGUCUGAGCUUCCAAUUGUUAUAUUUCUGGAAUAGGAGGUGGAAUAGCAAAAAGCGAAUUCAUAUCAAUAUAGUAUUGCAUGGGUAAAUCUUGGAGGAUAAAUGGGAUCAUCGGUGUCUUGAACUCGAUUGCUUGAUUGUGUUGUAUCUACAACGACUUUCUCUUUUUUUUUAUUGAAAGCAAUUCCAGUAUUUUUGAAACUUGUUCCUCAAGCUUAUUAAUCUCUUAUCUCAUUUUAUCCAUGUCUUUAUCUUGUUCUUCCAUGAUUCGAUUUUUAUGCCUCAUAUGGUAAGGAUGUUGAAUUGAAGUAGGACGAGUGAUGUUUUCAUUUGAUGAUUUUGAAAACUUUAAAAACCAAAGAGAAAGGGAGAAAGAGAGAGAGAAAAUUUAUUAAAUAAUGAAUUCAAAUACAUUAAAGCCAAACAAAAUAUAAACCUGACAGAAUAAAAAUCAAACUAAAACAAAAAACAAACAAAAUGUAAUGAACACUCUCAUUUGUCAUUAAUUGCAAAAUAAGCAAUUAAUGAAAACGAUCAAAAUGCCCAAGUCCUCUACAUAUCAUCUUCAAAAUCCUAUUCAGAUCAUCUGCAUGAGGUUGCAUUGAGAAAAAAUUAAUCCUUAAAUUAGCUGCCCAUUCUGUAAAACUAUUUGCUCUUCUAGACAUUAUUUUGAGAAAUUUAAUCGUCUAAUCUACACAUUCAACUAACACCUGGAAAUCUUUUCUUUGCAAAAUCACAAUCAACCUUCACUUGCAUGUAAUCUGUCUUUAAUAAUUCGUAUUCUUGUACUAUCCCCUCACUUGAAUUUUGAAAUGCAAUAAGUUGAUAGUGUAAGGAAUCAACAUAAUUUUUCAGUAUUUUAUACUUUUCAGAGUACUCAACUAUCUUCACAUGUGGGUUAUCAUUUGUUUGAUGUAUAGAGUGAUUGUGUGCUUCCAAAUCUACUAUAUGUGCUUCCUGUUUUCCAAAUGAUGUAUUCAAAUCAUUGACAACUCGAGAAAAUAUCCUUCUCAAUUUCUAAAUCUUUAAUAUAUUCAUCUUGCGAUUCUAUUGUUGCCUGUAAUGUUGUCUUUUCAUUUUUCAAGCUUCUAUUUGCUUUACUCAUUUGCCUAAUCUCUUUAUCUAACACCUCAAAAUUCUUUUUUAACUUAUCUUGAUUUCUUAAGAAACUCUUGGUCUUUUCGAGCUCUUUCUACAAAAAAGUCACAUGAUCACUCAAUUGACUUGUCUCUUUACGAAGUUUCUCAUUCUCUUGCUCUAACAGUUGAUUUUUCUCUUAUAAUUUUAUGCUCUUCUCAGCCCACUAGUUUGAUUGUUCAAAGCUUGUCUCUUAUACCCUUUCAAUUGAUGGAAACGAUAGACAUGCGCAGCAAAAUAAAGAUCGAAUUUUACUCUAAUUGCAACUAAACAAGUUUAGUAAUUAACAUGCAUAAAAAUAAAACCCUAAAAUAACAUAGAUAGGGUUAAAAGAAAAACUUACCUUUGAAGUUUUUCUUCUCUUGUAUUCUCUUCACGAAUUUGAAGUCAGCACAACCACUAGAGUUUACCUCCUAUUCUUCGGACUUGGAACCGAGUUGUGGGACUAAAAAAUGGUGGAGGAAAUAGAGAGAGAUUGAUGAUAUCCUUUUGAUGAAAAAAUCUCAAAUGAAAAGAGUUCUUGGUCUUAUUUUGUAAUUCUCAAUUACAAAAUUAAUUUUCAAUUUCAAAUCCAAGAGUCCUUUCACAUUUGCAUAAAACUUGUUUACAAACAAACUACAUGCAAGAGCUUCCGUAUCUCACCACUUGACAUUCUUAGUGGGGUAGGUGUCUUACAUGCAAUAAGCCACUUGCAUACCACAUGCAAGUGAUAAGCUUGUCAAAUCUCAACCAAUGUUAUUAUUUAAAUUAGUUUAAGGUCAAUAUGGUAAUUCAACAUUUAAAUCAAAUUCAAAGUUUGACUUUUUCAAGUCCAAAAUCAACAUUUUAUCCGUCUUGACUAAUUUCAACCUCCCAAGCAUGAAUCCGUAUUCAUUUCUCCAAAAUUCAAAUCACAUUUGAAUAUAAAGUUAGUCAAAUUUUGAUUUUUCAAAGUCAAAAGUCAACAUUUUAACUUUUUACAUCUUUGACCUUUUUCAUCAAUUCUAAGCUUCCAAAUAUGAAUCCAUAUUCAUAUUUAAAUCACAUUUAAACAUGAAGCUCUAUCUUAAGUUAUAACUUAUAACUGUAUCAAAUAUAUUUGUCGGUUUCUCUCUAUUUACCUAAUUCAAACAAUUCAAAUUAUUCCAUCAUAAUGUUCUAAGUUGAUUCCUUAUGAACUAGCGGGGGAACCUAAUGAACCUAUAGAUCAUAGACUCCAACGUUCAGAGAUUAACUGACUAAACUCUUUAGACUGAGUUAAUCAAUCUUCGUUAACUAACGGGUCAUUAUACUAAAAUCCCGUAGUUGCACUCCCCUGACUAUAGAUAUAUUUGUGUCCAUGUGAUAUGACCAUGAUAAGUAAGUUAAUCCUUCAUAGGUUGUUCAUAAUCUCGACUGGGUCAAAGUACCAUUUUACCCCUGAUAUUAUAUAUUUUCUCCUUAAGUCCCACUGAUCCACUAUUGAACAAUUGGUUUAAGGUCCAACCUUUAAACCGAAUCCCUCUCGGGCCAAUGAGAGGGUGGGACCCCUUGUUCAAGACCUAGAUUUAGUUCUUAAGGAAACAACCUAUCUACUAACCCUAAAGUGGGUAGGAGUGAAUUCCAUCUUGCACCCUAUGUCCUUAGCUAUCCACCCAAUGUUACCCUUGAAAUGAGAGGCUUAUUGGGCCAGCACUAUUGAGUUGCCCUCACCUAUGCAGAUCUAUGAAUAAUCUCGUGUGAACGUAAUUUUAUAGUUAGCUUAGGAUUAAGAUUAAGUUACAUUGGAUAUCUAUAAACGAAAUAGUCAGUUUUACAAAGUUAACGGUUUUAUAACUUAAAAAUGACUAUUUCAUGGUUCCAAUCUUAUGUAAACUCUUUACAUAGGAUGCCCCAACUUUCAUGUCUCUACAUGAACGAUUCAGGAUCAUAUCGUUUAUACUAACUACAAAGUAGGCCGCAUCCAUAGUGUCCUCAAAAUAAGGUGCCCAAUCGUAUUCGUAUACUAUAGACGGUUUAGGCUAUAUACUCAAACUUGGUCCACAUUUAUGUCUCUACAUAAGGUUCAAGUUUACUCUAUUAUAGCAUUGAGACCUUAGUUUAUUGGCUUUAAGAUUAUAGUAUCAAUAACGACUUAUUGAAUAGAAUAUGAUUAUAAACCACGAGUUUUGGGACAUAAAUUUCAACAUCAACUACAUCCCUUAAGGUAUCUAUUACAUUUUUCCUUUUGUUUGCUUGCCAUGCCUCGUAUUCACUGGUAACUCCUUCAUAGUAUCAUUUUCCUUUUAUCUUCCUCACAGACUUCCAUGCACAUACUACUCGAUAUUUUUUUCUUGACAAUCUUCAAGAUCGUAUGAAAAGUCAGAGUCCUGUAGAUUAUGAGUUGGUGGUAUAAACUGUUUGAGCCACACUUGACACAAAACUAACAAUGGUGUAGAGUUAACACCUUCUUGUGGUCCCAACAAAGGCACACUAUGAAAAUCUCCACAUCUAUAAAUCAUCGCCUUCAAAGGCAUCCAUUGAGCCUUCCAUAUGACAUUUUCAAAACUCAUUGUUGAAAAGAAAGACACCCAACCCAAGUCUCCAUCCUUAGAUAUGUUGGGUCCCAAACUGCCAUACCAAACUCACUAACAACGUUCCACAAUAAAUUUCAUGAUCUACUAAAAUCUAUCCUUGGACGCCUAAACUCUGCUAGAAAUUUAAUAUGGUUGUGUAUCCAAAUAUAUAAUAAAAGGACACAACAAUUCAAUUUUUCUUCCCAUUUAUUUCUACAAUAGGUAAGAGAUUGAAAAGUUUAAGCCAAUAUAGGUAUAAUAGGAUCAACUCCUCGUUCUAUUUUAAAAAAUAAUCUGAUCACUUUCUCAUAAACAUAACCCUAUACUUUAGGAAAAAUCACCGCUCCAUAAAUGCACAACGCUAAGAGAGUAAAACAUUUGUCUUGAUCAAUGUAAGUUUGUGCCAUCUUUAUUAAAUAGUCAAACGACACAUUCUCCUCCAAACCCUGAACUUUUACAUGCUUUUGAAUUUCUGUGGCAUGGACGGUUUCUAAAAACUUUGAUAAAGUCCUAUUUGUUAUUUGCUUAGGGUUAAAGAAAUUAAUAAUAAUUUCCCUUUUUUUUUCAGGCAUGCUAAGCAUAGCGUGAUAUUCUUCUAUAGUUGACAAUAAAUCACACAACCCAAACGUGAAACAACCGUAUCUGGAUUCAAAUAUUAAUUAUGACUCUUAAAGCAAAAUAAUUCACCGGUAUGUACAUCAACUCUACUGUAUGUCCAUACUUCUUUGAAAACAUGAAUCUUCGUUGAGGUGUCAAUGCCUCCCAGAUCAUCUUUAGUUUCGCUAAAUCAUUUUGUGUAGAAGAGAGCUGACACAUGGAUAGUACUAAUACUUGAGAAGAACUGUUUAUGCUAUCCUAAAUUUUUGUUGCAUCUCUUUAGUCCAUUUCAGAACAUUGCUUGACUCAUCAAACUUAGAUUCAAAAGGUGAAUGCAUCGACAUAUUAGACAACUUGGCAUUUCAAUACUAUUACUUUUUUGCACAAUUAUGAUAAAAAAAGACAAAAAUAAAAACAUAUAGUCAAUUCACUUCACACAAAAAAGUAAAAAAUAAAAAGAAAAAGAAAAAAAGAAAAAAAAAGAGUAAAUAAGGUUUUGAUGCACUUGUAAACACUACUCUUCUUAUUAUUUUUUAAACAAAUAUUUAAUUUUAGAAAAUGUAAAUGUUUUCAUGCACUUAGAAGCACUACUCUUCUUAUUAUUUUUUUAAAAAAUUAUUUAAUUUUAGAAAAUGAAAAGUUUUCAUGCACCUCUACCAUGUAAACACUCUUUUCCUCAUUUUUUUUUUUUUUUAAAAGUCAUUUAAUUUUACAAAAAGAAAAGUUUUCAUGCACCUGUUCAAGGUAGACGCUACUCUCCUUAUUGUUUUUUAAAAAUAUUUAUUUAAUUUGAAAAAAAAUGUAAAGGUUUUCAUGUACCUCUACAAGGUAAAUAUUAUAAUGUUAUUCCCUUAUUAUAAUGUUAUUUAAAAAGGGUUGGUAUCAUUUAAACUUCUAGAAGGGAAAUGCCCUCAAACUUAUUAUAAUGUUAUUUAAGAAAUAACAAAAGAAUUAAUCUGAUCGAGGAUCUUUCAUGUGAUUGUAUAAAAGUCGAAACCCCUCGAAGGUCAACACUACUCCCUCCUCAAUUCUAGUCCUAUAAGGUUGUAGCCCGAGUAGAGGGCUUGUGAAUGUGUAAAAUGCAUGAUGAUAUAUAUAUAAAAAAACAGACCAAUAACAUAGUACAAAUUAAUAUUCCAUAUGAAUCAAAUCAAAAAACAAAUAAUUAAGUGAACCAACAAAUCAUAAUAGACUAAGAAUAAAGGAUAAAAAUAUAACGAUUUGUCUCUCUUAAACACUUUUUAAGUCCACAAUGGAAUCGUCAAGUUGUUGCGACUUGGUUGCAAUGCGCCAAUGUUCUCGUUUAUUUAAUUUUAAUAAAUAAAUAGGUUUGGAGCCACCACCAACUAAGGUGUGAUUGGUCACCCAAAAAUAAAAAUGGUCUACCCAAAUUCAUGAGAUGUAACUUCGAGAGUCAGUUAAGUGUAGGAAAUGUGUUAGCACCCUACAACACCCAUUAAAAUGAUUACCAAAAUUUAUCUUUUAAACUAAAUUAAAAAGGUUCACAAAACAAAAAUUUUUAUUUUGUUUUUUUAAAUGUCUCAUUGUUCUCAAUUCACGUGAAAGAAAAUAAAACCUAAACCUUAAUUGAUAAUUAUGGGUGACAUAAGAGUCAUUAGAAAAAUAAAUUUUAUUUUUUUAUUUUAAAAGAUUAUUUUUUCAUUUAUUGACCUCAAGAAUAUUAAAAUAUCAAACUUUGAUAUUUUAUUAUCCAUUAUAGGUGUCUAAUGAGAAAUUCCAUGUAUCUAAGAAUUAAUAAAUUCAUAAAAAACACUACUCAGUUCUCAUUUAAAAUUCUCAUUUAAAAUAUAAAAUUAUUUAUGAUUUUAAAGAUAAUUUAUUAAUUAAAUUUCAAAUGAAGAAACUUAAUCAUGAAAUUUAAGUUAUAAAACCCAUAAAAAAUAUUGCUUCUUCACUAAUUUAAAAUAAUAUGUAGUGAGUCUGUGAAAUAAAAUAAUAUGUAGGGAGAGAAAUAAAAUAAUAUGAAAGGAGGUUGCGAAAUAAAAUAAUAUAUAGGGAAUCUCGGUGUGAAAUAAAAUAAUUAUAUGCAGACAUGUUGUGACAAAAAAUAGUAUAGUGAGAUAAAUAACCGCAAAUAAAGAACACAAGCAAACAAAUAAAUAAUGCAUGAUGCCAAAUAAAUAAUGCACGAUGCCAAACAAUAAAUUUGAACUCAUGAUACUUAAAUUGACCUAAAUCUAAAAAACCGUUGAACCACGUAAUAAGUCUGGCAUAAAUAAAUUUAAAAUCACAAUGCCCAAAUAAAAUUAAUAUGAAAAGUAGGUAGUAAUGUAUGAAUCAUUUAAUUGGGAGAAGAAGUGAAAAAUAGCACAAAGUUUCUUCCUAUCUUCUCAACCCUCCCAAUUGACAACUAAUGGAAACAAUUUUCUUUUGCACCUCUCGCAACAAAAUCUUCCCCUCUAUUUUUUAUAGGGGAUAAGGUGAUAGUUUUUUAGAGAGAAGGAAGUGAGUCAAAGGCAGAGGAAGUGUUGAUGGAAAAAAAGAUCGAGAGAAAAUGGAGAGUAGUGCAUAUUGAGAGUGGUUAAGGAAAAAUAGGAAGAAGGUAACGUGAGAUUUUUCCUAUAUUUUUUCUUUUUUCAUUUUAAAAUAAUUCAAAUUCAUAUUUCUUUUAACAAAAUAUAAUAAAAUAAAUUAAAGUAAAUAAAUGAAUCUAAAGAAAAUGAAGGACAAAAUAUGUUUCCUUUAAAAUUAUUAUUGUAAGCCACUCCUUCCAAUUAAGCAUUUAUUGUUCUAACUUAUUGAGUUUUCUCUUCCUUAAUGCCUUUGAUUCAAUAUAUGAUAAGACAACUCCAAUAAAGUCAUGGUAUGAUAGGUAGUCCCUUGUUAGAAGUAUACCACACACUCCUCGUGGUGGAUCGUGACAAUGCCCACAACCUUACAAAAUGUUUUAAAGUUGUUGACGUUAGAGGAGUUUUCUUUUUAUUACAUUAUGUGUUUCGUAUCAUUAUUAUUUCAUUUAUUCCAUUAUGUAAAAAAAUGAUUUACAUAAAAUGUGAACGUGAAAUCAAAUUUCAUUACGAUCACACAACAUAUGCAGCCCAGACAAUAAACUUAAUCGUAAAAAAGCUGCAUUUACAUGAUUCUAUUGUUUUUCAUACUAUAACUAUCUUUUUUUUUCAUAUAAAUAUUUAAAUUUUUAGUUAAAUUCUAUAUUUUUUUAACUACUUUUUUUAGUUAACUCGAGUGUUUGAAACAUGGAUAAUAAAACAAAUAAAUCUUCUUAACAAAAAUAGCGUUUACCAAACUUAAGUUCUAAAACCAAAUUAAAAGGUUUAUAGUCCAUGACUACACACAAAUUAACUAUAAACAACUGAUGUUAAAAUUUAUUAAAUAAGACAUACAUAAAAGUCCCAUAUAGUCCCAUAUAGCUAAAAUGAAAAAAGUCAUAUAAACUACACAUGGAUAAAAUUGGAAUAGUAAAAACCUUUGGAAACAAUUAUCCGUAUGAUGAUCAUUUCAAAUAGAUUCAAAGCCUUGAUUAAAUAUAGCAACAAAAGCUUCCAUUUCAUCCCUUUCCUUAACAACACCAAUCUCCAUUACCGCAUCACUAUUUCUACUAUCAGUCAAAGAAAAAAAAUAUGGUGAUUCAGCUGACACAAUCUCCACUUUCUUUGGCUUUCCAAAUCCAAAAUCAGCGUUAUAAACUCCAAAUCUUGGUGAACCAGCUAGAGAAAUGGCUUGUGUUUCUGAAUAAUCAUAUGUCAGUUGGCUCAUUAUUGACCCCCAAUUCUCACACCCAUUUAAAGCUCCACCAUCCAAAUUUCUAAUAGCUUUUGAAAUCUCAUCACAAGCGAAAAUUAUUCCAUUUUCCCUCAAAAGCUCAAACCUUUCAAGACGAACAAAUCCAGCAACCAAACAAUUCCCAAAGUAAUUCAAUGGCACUUGUGGCUUUAAACGAAUUCUGGCAUCAGCUGCAAACACAAACCAUAAUUCUCCUUCUUUUAAACCUUCUAAUUUGGCUGUACAAACACAAAGAUAAGCUGUUGCUAUUGCAAAUGAAGAUAUGUCAGAAGAAGAAGAAUCAAAAUUUUCGUUUUUGAUCUUCUUGUUCAAGAUCCAUUCAUUUAGCUUUUGAAUGUUUUGGUGUGUGAAUUCUAAAGUGCUUCUAAUUAAACCAGGUAUUGUUUUGGGGAAUUUAAGGUUUAAGCUUCUGUUGUUGGGUCCUUCUAUGUCUUGCCAUGCCUUUGCAUAGAGUUUUGCAAAAUCUUUUGGAUCAUUUAUAAUUGAUCUAUCAUAUAAUGGCAUUUGCUCCGAGAUUGGUACAGAGGAUUCUUCAAUGCACAUUUGAGCCCAUGAUUUGAUAAAUGAAGUUGAGCUUCUUCCAUCUAAGAUUGCAUGGUGAUGGGUUAUUCCAAUGGAAAAACCUUCGUUUUGAAAUUUAGUUACCUAUAUUAAGAAUAUAAAUAAUUUAUAUAUUGUAUAUAUGCAAAUAUAGCAAUCACCUUUAAAUAGUUAUAUAUAUAAUACAAUACAAUGCAAAAUAAGUUUUAUAUAUAUAACAAAAUAUUGGAAUAUUCAAUCAUUAAUAAUAGUCUAUCACUAAUAUUGAAAAUAUAAAUGAUUAAGUAAUUGGUAGAGUUACAAGUAUUUCAAGAUAUAUCGUUAAUAAAAAAAUUCUAUUACAAUAGUGUCUAUCAGGUAUGAAUAUUUUGCUGUACUUCUAACUCUUUAACCAUGGUUAACUUAUUUGGCCAUAAAAGAUAUUUAUUAUAAUAAUUCUUAUAAUUACCCGUAAUUAAAUAAUACCUUAAUGGGUUAGUACUUAACCAUGCAUUAUUGAAGUCUUUAAUGCAGUACGUUAUUUUUCCUUUCAAUUCAGUCCUUUAAAAAAGUUUCAAUUUAGUAUUUUUCUUUUUGUUUGUUUCUCAAUUUAGUCUAUGAUGAUUAGUGAAUAAUGUCAAGAAAACUUUUAAAAAGAAAAGAAAAAGUAGUAAUUUCAACUAAUUUCGUAGAAUCAAAUAGGGAGAAGAAUUUAGAAACUUUCCCUUUUUAAUGACUUUUUUUUUUCUUUUAAAUGCCUUUGUACCAAUGUUCUAAUAAAUAAUGUCACUAAUAUUUAUAUAAUUUAAAUAAUAGUUUUUUUCAACUUAUUUGAAAAUAAUGUUUACUAAUUUUGGUGUUUCUGAGUGGUAGGUUUUUAUAACUUUUUCACACAUAUCCAAGCACCCAAUAAAAAUGUGGCACGUGACAUUUUUUUAAAAAAAUAAAAUGAUCGAUGAGUGUAAAAAAGAGUGAGAGUAUUCAAUUAAUCGCACCUAUUUAUUCAUAUACACGUAAUUUCUCGAAAGUAUAUUCUCUAAAAUUAAAAUACAUUAAACACAAUGAAUGAAAUCGAGAACUUUUAAAAGACGUUUAGAUCAGGGAGUUUGUUAUUAUAAUCUUAAAUUAUGAUAGUUCAAUUAUAAUAGUUUACAACCUAGGUGUAGAUUAUAAUUUUAGUCUGGUUUGAACUAUAAUGUUAACAAUAGUAAAUAUUACAUAAAAGAAUUUUAAUGAUUUACUUAAAAAAAACUAUAGAGAUGGACAAGUUUUAUAUUAUUUUGUGGGAAUGAGGCAUAACAUCUUUUCACCAUAUUUGGUGUAAGUUUUCAAUCUUGGGAAUGAUAGCAUCUUAUUCCAAAGGCAUUUCAUAUUCUCUUUCCAUGCAGAUUUUUCAUAACCUUCCAAAUAGGAUGAUUUCUCUCUCUCUUACUUCUUAUCUUUUUCAUUUUAUUUAUUUUUCCUUCUUUCUUCUUAUUAUUUAAUUCAAACAUUUUUUAUAAAUAUUUCUAAACUAAGCCAUCUAUAAUUGACAUUUGUAUUCAUUUUUAUUACUAAUGAUGCUAAUAUAAUAAUUUAUUCUAUUUUAUGAAUUACAAUAAUUAAACAUAAUUAUAAUUGCUUAAUUUUUUUCGACACCCUAAAUUGUUUUCAAAUACAAGAAAAAAAAAUCAAUCAAAAUAUUUACCAAACAUAUGUUUAAUAGAAUUUGAUAUUUCUUUUAUAUUCGUAGAUAAGUCGGCAGCUUUUUCAUUCGCAAUAAUUUUCUUCAAAAAUUUUAUACUUAAUUUCAUAAAUUAAGUACAAAUAUAGUUUUUGUUAUUCUCAUCCAUUUUUUUUCCAAGCAUACAUAAAUUUUUACAAACAUUUUUGAAAAACUUAUAAAAAAAUUAAAUUAGUAAAUAAAAUAAGUAAUUUAUUAUUUUCAAAUAAGUACACAUACGUAUGUUUUAGAUUCGUGAUAUUUUGAUGCUUAUAUAAAAGAGAUAUUGAUUCAUCCAUUGAAAACAUCUACAUGUAGAUGCAAAUUUGAUACCAAUUAAUUAUUACCUACUUUAAGAAUUUGUGGUUAAGUACCUGAAUAGCAAUGACUGCAGCACGAUCAUGAAAGACAGGUAAUUCAGGAACAAGAUGAUGAAAUUCGGAAACUUUUCGAAACCCGUUACUAGAAAGAUGAUAAAAGUCACCGUCGGACUCCGCCACCGUCAUGGAAACCCCAUCGCCCUCGUGAAAUUCAAUGACGGGUACAUCCGAUUGCGAUGGCCAAACGAGGUUGCCAGCCAGAGGAAGAUAGUGUUGAAGAGUAAGAGACAAAGAGCUCUUGAGCUUCGGAACAAUGACAUCGUGAAACGAGAUCUCAUUCGAUGGAAAUUCAUAGAAAAAAAGACGUUGGGUUGGAAGAAACCUUAGCCACAAUAAAUCAAAGAAAGUGAGGGGAAGAGAUGACGGCACCACCGCGGCCGCCGGAGGAGGAGAGACUUUGCAGACGUCAAUUAAUUUUAGAGAAGGAAAGUUAGCCAUCGGAAAUAAAAAGAAAGUGAGGAUAAUUGUUUAGAUUUUUUCAAAACUUUGUGGUGCUUUAAAGGUACAAAAACGACUGAAAGAAAAUACAGAUGACGACGAAUUGGCUUUUGUCUUUGCUUUUUAAUCGUUGGAAAGGAAAAUCCUACAGAAUUGCAAAAAUAUCGGUAGUAUCAUUUGUAUAAUACAUCCAAACAUUUAUAAAAUAUAAUAAAGUUUUACUGUAUUUUAUAAUUAUUUUUAAGAGUUUUAUUCUUUACAAUCAUUUUCUCUACUACAUCUCAUAUUUACUAUAAAAUAUAAAUAUUUUGCUGAUUUUUAUAAAUUAUAUUUUUAAAUAUUUAUUUUAAAUAGGUUUUUUUUUAAUAAAAAAAAUAGAACUAAGUGACAAAAUAUUUACAACGUAUAAAACAAUUUCAAAAACGAAAAAAAUUCACAAAUCCACAUUAGAAAAUAUAAAAAAUGUCCAUAAUUAAUUGACAUCGAUAUAAUAUAUUUUGGAAAUCAUGGUUCAGUAUUUGAAAAACGAUCGUUUAAAUCAAAUAUAAAUCUAAUAAUUUUUUAAUAAUUUUUAUUUCACACAAUUUUUUAAAUUUGGGUUGCCAAAUCUCAAUCAUUUUUUUCAAUUUUUUGAAGAAAUGAUCGUUUAUAUUUAGUACAAAACGAUUUUAUUAACGAUUAUUGGUACACGAGCGUUUAAAUUUAGUACAUAAUUGUUUAAAUUCGUUUUUUUAAAGAUUGUUUUGGUAAACUAUCAUUUAAAUUAAAUUUGGUACAGAUCGUUUAUAUUUGGCUCUUUAAAUUUGGAAAGCCAAAUCUAAACGAAUUUUUUAAAAGAUUCUUUGAUAUUUAAAUUUAGCUAUACACGAUUGUUUAGAUUUAGUUAUAUAAUAUUUCAAUAAUUUUUUUUUACGAUCUUUUAUAUUUGUUCCACAGUCUAAACAAUCAAAUAAAAAAAAACAUUGUUUAUUUGGUACAUAAACUUGAACUAAAUGAAAAUCGAGAAAAAGUAUGCAAAUUUCGUUAUGAUUACAAAAUUUUGGGAACAACCCAAACAACAAACUUAAUCUAAAAAAGGGGCGGACUAUUUAGAUCAUUGCAUUUGAUUUAUUGUUUUUCUUACCAUGAUUUUCAUCUAAUUUUUCUCACAUGAACAUUUAAAUUUUCACCUAAAUUCUAUAUGAAAAUUAUAUAUUUUUUUAACUUGUUUAAAACAUUCCUAAAAAUAGAUAAUAUAAGAUAAUGAAUCUUCUCACUGCAAAAUAAUGUCAAAUUAAGAUGUUUAUAGCCCUUACCUACAAGCAAAUUAACAAUAAAUUUACAACAAAUUAAAUUUAUUAAAUCAGACAUGCAUAAAGUAAUAGUAUUUUAAACUAUUAAUUAAAUUAAACAUCAUUAUUAAAAAUGUAUCAAAACUCAAAAGAGCAACAAAUUAUUUGGAAACUAACAAUGAUCCCAAUGUUGAUCAUUAAAAAAAGAUUCAAAGCCUUGAUUAAAUAUAGUAACAAAAGCUUCCAUUUCAUCCCUUUCCCUAACAACACCAAUCUCCAUUACCACAUCACUAUUUUGACUAUCAGUCAAAGGAAAAACGUAUGGUGAUUCAGCGGACACAAUCUCCACUUUUUUUGGUUUUCCAAAUCCAAAAUCAGCGUUAUAAACUCCAAAUCUUGGUGAACCAGCUAGAGAAAUGGCUUGUAUUUUUGAAUAAUCAUUUGUCGCUUGGCUCAUCAUUGACCCCCAAUUCUCAGACCCAUUUAAAGCUCCAUCAUCCAACUUUCUAAUAGCUUUUGAAAUCUCAUCACAAGCCAAAAUUAUUCCAUUUUCACUCAAAAGUUCAAACCUCUCGAGAGAAGUAUACCCACCAACCAAACAAUUCCCAAAGUAAUUCAAUGGCACUUGUGGCUUUAA
This 25883-nucleotide long non-coding RNA is filed under the name Cucumis sativus (cucumber). Its description in RNAcentral is "long non-coding RNA (CSAT_LNC000343)". The record is from RNAcentral. Lineage: Eukaryota; Viridiplantae; Streptophyta; Magnoliopsida; Cucurbitales; Cucurbitaceae.